GGGAUAUAUGUGUGUUUAUGUACAGGUAGUAUAUACUGUGAAGUCCAUAUUCAUAAGGUUUUUACAUUUAAGGUUGAAAACUACAGAACUACAAUAACCUCCACAAAAGCCCAAAGUAGUGAGUAUGUGGCCUCUCAAGAUGACCCAGAAACUUGUAGUUCAGACCUGCAACCUCAGUCUAAUGAUGAUCAUUGCUAUGCUUUGCCAGCUUCUCUUACCGCUGUCACUGCAAAACAUAAGAUAGCGUUGGCAAGAGUGGAAUAUCUGGAGCGGGACAAGAAAAACACCAUGGCCAGAGAGAAGAGGGCAAAGACCACAGCAAAGUCACUUUUGGGGGAAUUGAGUGAAAAAAAUCUCAUUACUGAAGAACUCAAAGAACGGCUUGAAUUCUACUCUGAUCUACAACUAGAGUUUAUGGAGAAAAAGGGCCAUGAAUACUCCAACGAAUAUAGAGAGUUUGCCCUCACACUUCAUCUCCAUGGCCCAAAGGCAUACAAAUACCUUAGAGAGAAGCGAAGAUUUCCCCUCCCACAUCCGCACACAUUACAAAGGUGGUUGUGUUCAGUAGAUGACAGGCCUGGCUUGAACAAGAUGAUGCUGGACAUGCUGGAGAGAAAAUGCCAGGAAGACCAUGCUAAAUAUGGAUUUGUUGCACUCAUUUUGGAUGCAAUGGCAAUCAGAAAACAUGUGCAAUAUAAUCUACAUACACAGUCACUGUCUGGCUUCGUGGACCUGGGGGAUGGAAACAAUGAUACUGAGGUUGCUACUGAGGCUCUUAUGUUUAUGGUGGUUGGCCUCCAAGGGCAUUGGAAGGCUCCCAUUGCGUACUACCUGACGGCGUCUCUGUCACCAGACACACAAAAGGUACUUGUCAGUCAUGCUUUAGAGGAGCUGCAUGCUCGAGGAAUUUGGGUGCUAUGUAUAACAAUGGAUGGGCAUGCUACCAACAUCAGCAUGUGUAACCAACUUGGGUGUGAACUGAAGGGAAACCCACAAGAACCCCUGAAAACCAAUUUCCCACAUCCAGUUACUGGAGAGAAAGUAUUUGUAAUGAUGGA
Xiphophorus couchianus (Monterrey platyfish) is the source of this 1058-nucleotide long non-coding RNA. RefSeq lists it as uncharacterized. The transcript is spliced from 4 exons. The record is from RefSeq and is a predicted model, not a curated record. Lineage: Eukaryota; Metazoa; Chordata; Actinopteri; Cyprinodontiformes; Poeciliidae.